AGAGUUUGAUCCUGGCUCAGGACGAACGUUGGCGGUGCGCUUAAUGCAUGCAAGUCGAGGGAGAACCAUUUGAUUCGUAAGAUUCGAAUGGGGAAACCGGCGAACGGGUGCGUAACACGUGAGGAACCUGCCCUGAAGAUCGGGAUAGCCCGGGGAAACCCGGAUUAAUACCGAAUAUCCUCUCCGGACCGCAUGGUCUGGUGAGGAAAUGGUCCGCCGCUUCAGGAUGGCCUCGCGGCCUAUCAGCUAGUUGGUGAGGUAACGGCUCACCAAGGCUAAGACGGGUAGCUGGUCUGAGAGGACGAUCAGCCACACUGGGACUGAGACACGGCCCAGACUCCUACGGGAGGCAGCAGCAGGGAAUAUUGCACAAUGGGCGAAAGCCUGAUGCAGCGACACCGCGUGCGGGAUGAAGGCCUUCGGGUUGUAAACCGCUUUCAGGAGGGACGAAAAUGACGGUACCUCCAGAAGAAGGCCCGGCCAACUACGUGCCAGCAGCCGCGGUAACACGUAGGGGCCAAACGUUGUCCGGAUUUAUUGGGCGUAAAGGGCUCGUAGGCGGUUCAACAAGUCGAUCGUGAAAACCCGGGGCUCAACCCCGGGACGCCGGUCGAAACUGUUGUGACUAGGGUCCGGUAGAGGUGAGUGGAAUUCUCGGUGUAGCGGUGGAAUGCGCAGAUAUCGAGAGGAACACCAGUUGCGAAGGCGGCUCACUGGGCCGGUACCGACGCUAAGGAGCGAAAGCAUGGGGAGCAAACAGGAUUAGAUACCCUGGUAGUCCAUGCCGUAAACUGUGAACACUAGGUGUGGCGGAUCUAUUGAUGUCUGCCGUACCGUAGCUAACGCGUUAAGUGUUCCGCCUGGGGAGUACGGCCGCAAGGCUAAAACUCAAAGGAAUUGACGGGACCCCGCACAAGCGGCGGAGCAUGCGGCUUAAUUCGAUGCAACCCGAAGAACCUUACCUGGACUUGACAUCAUGGGUCUACCUGUGGAAACACAGGGUGCUUUUGCGCCCAUGACAGGUGGUGCAUGGCUGUCGUCAGCUCGUGUCGUGAGAUGUCGGGUUAAGUCCCUUAACGAGCGAAACCCUUGUCCCUAGUUGCCAGCGGGUCAUGCCGGGGACUCUAGGGAGACUGCCGGUGUUAAACCGGAGGAAGGUGGGGAUGACGUCAAGUCCUCAUGGCCUUUAUGACCAGGGCUGCACACGUCCUACAAUGGCGCGCACAAAGGGAAGCGAACUCGCGAGAGCAAGCAAAUCCCAAAAAACGCGCCUCAGUUCGGAUUGCAGGCUGCAACUCGCCUGCAUGAAGCCGGAAUCGCUAGUAAUCGUGGGUCAGCAUACCACGGUGAAUGUGUUCCUGAGCCUUGUACACGCCGCCCG
RNAcentral lists this ribosomal RNA (1381 nucleotides) under uncultured prokaryote. RNAcentral's name for it is "partial 16S ribosomal RNA". It matches the Rfam family "Bacterial small subunit ribosomal RNA". The record is from RNAcentral.